GACGAACGCUGGCGGCGUGCUUAACACAUGCAAGUCGAUCGGUAACAGGUGUAGCAAUACAUGCUGACGAGAGGCGGACGGGUGAGUAAUGCUUGGGAAUCUGCCUAUUAGUGGGGGACAACCCGGGGAAACUCGGGCUAAUACCGCAUACGCUCUACGGAGGAAAGCCGGGGACCGCAAGGCCUGGCGCUAAUAGAUGAGCCCAAGUCGGAUUAGCUAGUUGGUAGGGUAACGGCCACCAAGGCGACAAUCCGUAGCUGGUCUGAGAGGACGACCAGCCACACCGGAACUGAGACACGGUCCGGACUCCUACGGGAGGCAGCAGUGGGGAAUAUUGGACAAUGGGGGCAACCCUGAUCCAGCGACGCCGCGUGGGUGAAGAAGGCCUGCGGGUUGUAAAGCCCUUUCGGUGGGGAAGAAAAGUCUCGACCUAAUACGUCGGGACCUUGACGUAACCCACUAAAGAAGCACCGGCUAACUCUGUGCCAGCAGCCGCCGUAAG
This 502-nucleotide ribosomal RNA is filed under the name uncultured bacterium. RNAcentral describes it as "bacterial SSU rRNA". It matches the Rfam family "Bacterial small subunit ribosomal RNA", at positions 28 to 524 of the family's 1533-position model. The record is from RNAcentral.